CAAAAACAUCGCCUCUUGAAAUUUAACCAUAAGAGGUCCCGCCUGCCCUGUGACCAUGUGUUUAACGGCCGCGGUAUUUUGACCGUGCAAAGGUAGCGCAAUCACUUGUCUUUUAAAUGGAGACCUGUAUGAAUGGCACGACGAGGGCUUAACUGUCUCCUUUUUCCAGUCAAUGAAAUUGAUCUUCCCGUGCAGAAGCGGGAAUACCAACAUAAGACGAGAAGACCCUGUGGAGCUUUAGACACUAAGCCAGACCAUGUCAAAUAUCCUUCUCAAGGGACUGAACCUAUUGGACCCCCUGUCCUGAUGUCUUUGGUUGGGGCGACCUCGGGGAAACAAAAAACCCCCGCGUGGAACGGGAAUAUUCCGCUCCCUAAAAACUAAGAGCCACAGCUCGAAUUAACAGAACUUCUGACCAAUUACAGAUCCGGCUUUUUAACGCCGAUCAACGGACCGAGUUACCCCAGGGAUAACAGCGCAAUCCCCUUUUAGAGCCCAUAUCGACAAGGGGGUUUACGACCUCGAUGUUGGAUCAGGACAUCCUAAUGGUGCAGCCGCUAUUAAGGGUUCGUUUGUUCAACGAUUAAAGUCCUACGUGAUCUGA
This 604-nucleotide ribosomal RNA is filed under the name Chromis alta (oval damselfish). RNAcentral describes it as "partial 16S ribosomal RNA". It matches the Rfam family "Bacterial large subunit ribosomal RNA", at positions 1808 to 2608 of the family's 2925-position model. Lineage: Eukaryota; Metazoa; Chordata; Actinopteri; Pomacentridae. The record is from RNAcentral.